Molecule: long non-coding RNA, 2017 nt
Organism: Mus musculus (house mouse)
Lineage: Eukaryota; Metazoa; Chordata; Mammalia; Rodentia; Muridae
Product: predicted gene, 52354
Exons: 2
Source: RefSeq, a predicted model, not a curated record
CUCCCAGUGUUAUGCAAAACGGGCCGGCACAAACGCUUCCACACCAGCCCACAGCUUCCUCGUCCUCGCUCCCGAACACCAGAGCACACACUCCUGUCAUGCGCUUGUAGCCGGUGUGGCUCCCAGCCUUAGCCAGAGCCCGGGACGCCGCCUCACCUUCCCUUCCCCCUGCAUCGUGGAGCGCGCGCCGGGAACGCGCGCCGCAGGGGGACCCAGGCACCCCCUAGAUAGUCCUUCCGCCCGGAUCCUGCCUUCCUCGCUCCUAACGGGUCUCCUCCGGUUAGUGAGAGCUGGAAGACGCAAUCUCCGCCCGCAUGUCCACGUGCCCUGCCGACCCCUAUUCCCCUAGCCAGCAACUGACAGGAAACUCUGCGCUGCCGGAGCAGGUGGGGGGCUAUGGGGUACCCGAUGCUGGAGAACCAGGGGACUCCAGGGCUACCGAUCGCCUCCCUUAGCCCCGCCACAAGUGCACGUGAAAGUACGGCAGCAAGUGCCAGGCGCCGAGGACGCGCCUACAACACCCAGAGCCAGCCUUUAGGGAUCCCCCGACCCUGGCUGGAUUCUACCUGCGGGAGGAAUUGUAGUACCCCUCAACUUUGCCAGUGGGGGACAGUAGACUCUAGGUGGCCCUGGCUGUGUCCCCCAAUGCUACAGCAUGCGCCGGCGACCUGCAGCUCGCUACGCCUGUAACGGAGCGCAGCACAAGGCACGUGGAAGGGGGGGCUCUGCAGCCUGAACCCCCCGAUCACCCCGGUGCGCCCACCGCUGCGCUCGUUCCCUCUGCAGCUGCGGCUGCAGCCCCGCGGUUCUGCACCCACGUCCCCGGCCUGCGUUCCCUGCUGGCAGUACCUGCGUGUCAGAGAGAUAGUUGAGGAAGAAGGACGAGAGCUCUUCAUCCAGCAGCGCGCCGCAGUCGUUCCCCGCCAUCUUCCAGCCGCGGCUGCAGCGUGCGGCGGAGUCAGCGCCGAGCCCGCCCGGGGGAGGGAGCGAGCGAGCGAGCAAGCGAGCGAGGAGGAGGGAGGAGGCUGCCCGGCGGGCGGGUGGAGGGCGGAGCUCGGGCCCCCGGCUGCGGCAGGCGGGCUGGCUGCGGGGGCGGGGCCGCGCGAGCCUGGGGUCGCACCCCCGGCUUUUCCUGCUCCUAGUCUAGCGCAGGGACCAGGUCUCGCAGCCCCCCGCAGGGGAAAAAAAAAAAGCUCCGGCAGCCAGGUGGCGGUGCCCGGGCCAGCAGCCGGGUGCCUGCGCAGCAAUGCGGGCACCCCCUCCUUACUGUUAGAGCGAAUCACGUUGCGUUAGCGCUGGGCGGGCCCUUGCCAGACAACCUGCUUCUACACAGCUGGGGAAACUGAGGCUCCGGGAGGCUUAGAGCCGCUUUUAAAGCCGCAGUGCUCUGCAACAGCAAAAGAGAAAGCUGCGGAGACCUCAGUUCUCUCUCUCUCUCUCUCCCCAGACAGCAAGGCCAGAGAGGGAGGGAGACACGCACAGGUCAAAGGCGGAGAAAUCAGAGAAGGCUCCUCAGAGGGGGUGACAGUCAUAUGUUUUCUUUGUAGCAUUUUUAUCCUCAUUUCCUGUUAAGCCAUCUCUCUCCCCCGGGCUUACUCAAUAGCCACCGUUGAAAAAAAAUUCAAUCAUGUCUUUUACUGUACCCCAGUGUUUAGAAUUGGCUAAGCUUCUGUCAGCCUCUCGGGCCCAUUGGCCUCCCUUUUCUUAUUAUGAACCUUCUGAAAAGGGGCUGCUACACCAAUCAGCCAUCCACCAAAAAAAAUGGUAUCUUUAGGGCAUCCUUACCCACCAACCUUGUAAGUACCAACCCAUGUGUUGCUCUCCUACCUCAAGCCUAUGCGCUACCCUUUCCUUAGAAGUGUCUCAGCCUCCCUUGUACCUUGGCUUAGAGGAAGACUCCAUCUGAGUCACUCUGUCCUUGCUAGAGUCUAAGACGCAUGGAACCAGGCUUAAAUCUUGCUUUGGCUAUUUCUCCAGUUUACCAGAGGUAGUUAAUAAACAGUGUGUUAACUGAAAA